RNAcentral lists this long non-coding RNA (293 nucleotides) under Bos taurus (domestic cattle). RNAcentral describes it as "long non-coding RNA NONBTAT006039". The record is from RNAcentral. Lineage: Eukaryota; Metazoa; Chordata; Mammalia; Artiodactyla; Bovidae.
CACACAUCUAAGGCAGACAGACAUUUCAGCAAGGCAGAUAAGACUUUCCGGCAACUUCCUGUUGCCAUAUUUCUCUAAAAGGAUCCUGCAAUGUUAGAGCUCAAUACUAACUGCAUUUUUCAAGGGAUACAGUACCCCCGUGCUGCUCAGUGUCAGAGAGCUUAGAUUUUUCUCCCCAAGUACAGCAAGCAAAUAACCACUAAUCCUAUUCAACAUUACAAAAUCACAGCAAUGAUUUCAUUUGCAGAUUCAAGAGAAGUGGAAUGCACACACACACAAAAAAAGGAGCUUUC